Molecule: ribosomal RNA, 497 nt
Filed under: uncultured bacterium
Lineage: Bacteria
Description: partial 16S ribosomal RNA
Rfam family: Bacterial small subunit ribosomal RNA
Source: RNAcentral
GAUGAACGCUGGCGGCGUGCCUAAUACAUGCAAGUCGAGCGAACAGACGAGGAGCUUGCUCCUUUGACGUUAGCGGCGGACGGGUGAGUAACACGUGGGUAACCUACCUAUAAGACUGGGAUAACUUCGGGAAACCGGAGCUAAUACCGGAUAAUAUUUCGAACCGCAUGGUUCGAUAGUGAAAGAUGGCUCUGCUAUCACUUAUAGAUGGACCUGCGCCGUAUUAGCUAGUUGGUAAGGUAACGGCUUACCAAGGCAACGAUACGUAGCCGACCUGAGAGGGUGAUCGGCCACACUGGAACUGAGACACGGUCCAGACUCCUACGGGAGGCAGCAGUAGGGAAUCUUCCGCAAUGGGCGAAAGCCUGACGGAGCAACGCCGCGUGAGUGAUGAAGGUCUUCGGAUCGUAAAACUCUGUUAUUAGGGAAGAACAAACGUGUAAGUAACUGUGCACGUCUUGACGGUACCUAAUCAGAAAGUCACGGCUAACUACGUG